This 323-nucleotide ribosomal RNA is filed under the name uncultured eukaryote. RNAcentral describes it as "partial 18S ribosomal RNA". It matches the Rfam family "Eukaryotic small subunit ribosomal RNA", at positions 1470 to 1796 of the family's 1831-position model. The record is from RNAcentral.
CCCUUAGAUGUUCUGGGCUGCACGCGCGCUACAAUGGCGUUUUCAAAAAGAUUGCUAAUCCGAAAGGACCAGCGGAUCUUCGAAGUGGCGUCGUGAUCGGGACAGUUGAUUGCAAUUAUUCGACUCGAACGAGGAAUUCCUUGUAAUCGUGCGUCAUCAGCGCACGCUGAAUACGUCCCUGUUCUUUGUACACACCGCCCGUCGCUCCUACCGAUUGAGUGGUCCGGUGAGGCUUUGGGAUCUGAGCGGAAAGAGCGUUUCGCUGUUUCUGCUCGGAAAACUCAGUCGAACCUUAUCAUUUAGAGGAAGGAGAAGUCGUAACA